Lepidothrix coronata (blue-crowned manakin) is the source of this 717-nucleotide long non-coding RNA. RefSeq lists it as uncharacterized. The record is from RefSeq and is a predicted model, not a curated record. NCBI's taxonomy places the organism in Eukaryota, Metazoa, Chordata, Aves, Passeriformes, Pipridae. The transcript has 3 exons.
GGGUAUCUUAAAACAUUAUGAGGGACAGAGGGAUAUCAUUAGCUCCUCAACAUGUAUUAUUUUUUGCAACUGCUACAAACUAUCAUGGGACUGAAGAAGAAGGGAAGAAGGUGAACAGAUCUUGUGGUGUUGCUGUGUCUCCUCCAGCCAGUCUGUCCCUGUUGUUAUUCCAGCAUCCAAAGGGAACAGGAGCUGAACCACGACCGUUUUCCUGCAGCAGAAGCUGAGUACCCGCUGGCCUCCUGAAUACAAAAAUGAAGUUUCAUACUGUUUCCUUUGAAUGGAAGCAGCAUGACGUGAGUGUGGAAAGAGUGGAACAGUAUGUUAAGGGAAACACAACUGAAAGGAGCUGAGCUGACUCCAAGGGCUGAGCAGAUCUGCCCCCUCUGCUUCACUGUCAACACUGGCCUGAGUGGUGCUAGGCUUAAAUCAGCACAAGAAAUGGUUUGUGUCAAAGAAGACUGGUCCACAACCCUCUCCUGUUGUUAAAAGGCACCUCUGCCUCCUGGUCAAAACAGCACCUUGUUUGCUCUCAGCAAUUUGGAAACCCAAAGCUGUGUUCCUGCUGCCAGGGUUUUGUACUAGAGCACUGCAACUGCUUGGCACCAGCAGCCCCAUGCAGGAGUUUGGAGAUUCUGGCAUUUCGUGCAGAUUAUUAAGUGCUGAUCGAAGGGCAGCUGAAACUGGAACUCAGCUCUGGGUGGGAGGCAGCAGCUC